RNAcentral lists this long non-coding RNA (270 nucleotides) under Prunus persica (peach). RNAcentral's name for it is "long non-coding RNA (PPER_LNC006959)". The record is from RNAcentral. Lineage: Eukaryota; Viridiplantae; Streptophyta; Magnoliopsida; Rosales; Rosaceae.
UCGAUACCAAAGUUCAAUUUUGGCAGAGUUUUAAUCUACUUCAAGCCUUAGGAGGCUUUUGAGUAGGCAGAAGCUGCGACUUCUUUAAUCUGAAGGGGCAGAAGUGGCUGGACUUGAGGACUUAGCAAGCUGGAACUGCAUUGUAAAAUUUGUUGAGGUUUUCAUAUUUGUGUAAACUCAAACUCUGCUUGUCUUGACUUUUGCUGAACCAAAUGUGUAACCAGAGAAGUCUCGUUUUGAAUGACUUAUUUCUCUAAGCCUGAACUUUGA